GUGAUUGCAGUGUUCCCUCAGAGCUCCAGUGUUUAUUUUGUUAUAACACUUGGUCUUUUCUUCCAGUUAUAUUACUCUAGUGCUUGUCCUUCUAUUUCUCCAGAUUUGAGCUCUCAGAUGGCAGGGACCAUAUUGGUCUCUUGCUUUGCAGUUCCCAGGCCUAACUCAGCUCAUGGAACAAGGUAAGCAUUUGGGACAUAGUGGUAGAAUAAAUGAGAGGAUCUGGGAAGCUCUUGAAGCAGGUUCCAGUCAAUGAGCAGCUCAGACAGUAGAGAUGAUGCUCCUAAUAGGAGGUGCAGUACUGUGUGGUGGCAGGAAAAUGGCCAAAGGCCCUCUGAAGGCUCUUCCUGGCUGCAGAUGCUCCAGCAGAGCACAGUGGGCUCAGUCUCUCUCUGGUGGCCAGUGCUCACCCUGCACUCAUGGAGGAAAAAGCAUCACAGGAAACAGGCCUUUGUUUGAGUGACUUCUAGUCCUCAGUUUACCAGGUACCUGGGAACAAAAAAAAUACAGGGCCUGAAAGAUCCAGGGGCAUUAGACGGACCUUCUCUUUCCCCUCUUGGCUACAACAGCCCUGGAGUCCCUUGACCUCCCAAACUCUUUUCACCACAGCCAAGGCAAGGACUCUGGCCCCAGUUCCACAUGAGGCACUGAGGCUCCAAAAAAAAAAGUGGUCUUCUUCCCCUUUGAGGAUGAAUGGUUUAUAAUCCACCAUUCUUCCAUAUCCCACAUCUGCCUUCCUCUCUCCUGUCAGCUCUGAAGUCCCUCCAGGUGACAGAAAGGUUUUUUCCAAGAACUAGAACACAGUGUCACACUAGCAGAACUGAGGCAGGUGAACAUGCAGGACCCCUGUGAUGACCAACUCCAAGUUCCAAAAUAUGUAGAAAAGGAAAUAGGCCUUCUAUCCUGUAUUCCUCCUUCAGGGGGCUUGUCCUAGUCAAAGAUGCUGGUAGACAUAGGGCCCCAGGUCAUGUCCUCCCUUUGCUUUCUUUAAUGGAUUUUUUUUUGGGGGGGGGGGCUGUGCUGGGGAUCUAACCCAGGGCCUCACCCAUGCCAGGAAGCUCUGUACCACUGAGCUAUAUCCAGAGCCACCCUCUUUGCUCUUUUUGGGAUGGCCCAAAGUAAGCAGAUCCCUGACCACCUUAGGGACAACCCAAGACUGAAACCCUUGCAUUCUCUCCCCAUUCCACGCUCUGCUGAUCAUGGUGCAUAGAAAUGGCCUACUCCUGUUCCAUGAAAGAGCUGUCUCCAAUCUCUUCCUACUUUUCUGUGUCACUUCUCAGGGUCCACAUCUUCUCUAAUCCACACCCUGGUGCCCACAUAUGGUGUCAAGAAUGUGUACCAGUGUGUGUGUGUACCUGUUGGGAUGCUGAGAGGAAAUGGUCUCACAUGGCAAAGAUAGGCAGAGUUCCUAGGAGGGAGUUCUCCUUCCAAAGGAAAUCUCCUGCUAGUUGACUGAGUCCUGACUUAGCAAGUCAAGACCCAGUCUUCUAUGGAGUCUGUCCUUGUCUUGUGCCCUGGACCAGUCCACGCCUGUCACUGGGCCUUGGUUUCCCAAAUGUCCUACUAAAUGUUAGAGAGGAACUAACACACAGGCCUUUGUGGUAGAUGCUGAUUAGUUCCCCAGGUUGGUUAGGGUGGACAAGGUGGUGCUUCAGGGUCCCAUGUUACUGUCUUCCCAGGAGGGAUGCAGGUGCACCCUGUCCUUGUUUUCCUAGCUCAUGCGUGCUGCAGUUGGCAUGUUCAUGGAAACAGAGCCACUUAGCACUUUCCCAGGGGUUCCAUCAUUCCUGAAGUGUGAUACCCUAUGUCUCCCAUCUCUCCACUGUCAGAAAGUAUCAUCAGUCUCAUUUAGCCACAUGGACAUGGGGGAGGGGGUGGAUCCCCAAAGCAAAUGUGAGGUUCUCUGACUAUUAGAAGUGGGCUCCAAUGGGAGCCAGGCAAAUCACAAGAUCCUCAGAAGCAUGCUUGACAUCACCACUUUCAGAAAAGAAUAUAUAUAUUCUAGAAGAGGGAAGGGUCUGGCUUGAGUUCCCACAGUGAUUCAAGGAGAAACUGGGGAGGGAGGGAGAGAAUAUCUUCUUUCUGCUAUGGAAGAAGUGGGAGUGGUGCUUCAUGCUGACCCGGACUGUGCCCACUCACCUCACUGUCUUUCUGCCCCAGCUUCUCUGGAGCUGGUUUUCAUCCCUGAGUCUGUCCCUGGCCCCAGAUGCUACAUUUUAUAGAGUUUGAGGGGGAAAGAGGACAGAAUGCUGCAUAGCUGUGUUGGUUCCAUGAGAGCUGCUCCCCAAGUCCCCACAUUCUUUCUGCUCACUUCUCAUCAGCUUGAGCUGUAGCCACAAUUAGCUACAAGAGAGGUGAGCAAUGACAAACUUUUAGUUUGAUGAGUUGCUUGCCCUAUAAACCAAGUCUUUAUUUUGAAGAAAUAGACAAAGUUAAACCAUGUGUUCAAGAACAGACUCGUUCCUUCCUAAGCUCCAAGAUUAAGUGGAGAAAGUGGAGUCUUUUGUGGGUGCUAGGCACUGAUUUGUUACCAAACCAGGCCUGUCAUGCCUUCUCACAGUAUGCCCAUCCUAGAGACAAUUUUGCAAAAGAGAACUUUUUCACAAGGCAGCCAAGUGUGGAGGUGGGAAUCUCAAAUCUCAAAUCUGCCUCCCUGAGGCUAGGCUUCUGGGCCAUUUAUGGGAUGAAGGAGCAGGUGGCAGUGACUGGAGGUGAAGCAGACAGUGGUUUGUGCAUGCACAGUCUACACUCAUGGCUUUUCAUGACUUGAAUUUUUGGAACAAGGUAGCAUCAGCAUGGCGUGAGGGUGUAGUUUUCAGCCUUUUGACAUCAAAGUCCCCUGUUAGACACUUUCAGAUCCAAAUGAAGAGUUGAUGGUUUUGACAAAGGUGGCCUUCACAUCCCCGAAAAGUGACCAAAUUCACACCUCAGAGAUUAUUAACAUUGCUCAGCUGCUAGACAUCCAAAAGUAGUGAUUUUUAAAGUGAACUAAAAGCCAGUAACUCAAAGCAAGUGAAACUGGAAAGAUUAUUUGGGGAUCUCUUGAUUCCAUGCCCACUGCCAUGCCCUUUCUUUUCUUGAUGAUUCUUCAUUCCCAGAGAGAGGGGCAAAGUCUGCGCUGUAUCCCAGGAUGUUUGUUGGGAAGCCUGUGUUUAGUUCCCUGGAAGAAUGGCUAGAGCCUCUGUGUGGUCUUUCAUCUGCUAUGCCCCAAAAGGAGCUGGGAGAAAAUCCCCUCCUAUACUUAUAUAAGGUGGGGAAGCAGAAGGUGGUGGAGGCCUUCAUAGACACAGCAUGCUCCUAGAAUUGCUCAAAAUUAAUUCUCUGUUUGGGCUAGGAUUGUGGCUCAGCGGUAGAGCGCUCGCUUAGCACAGGUGGGACCCAGAUUCGAUUCUCAGCACCACAUUAAAAAAAUAAAGGCACUGUGUUGUGUCCAUCUCUUUCUCAAAAAAAAAAAAGUCUCUGUGAUGAAGGAAGUAAAAUGCUUUGACACCAGGACACUUCAACUCCCAUUGUCAAUAUCACUAAUGAAGAUACAUCACACUGACUAAAACCAUUCAUGAUGUAUGGUAAUACCAAUCAUUUAAAAAGAAUUGAUGGAAAAAUACUUUGAAAAUAUUUUGCUAUGCAGUGCUUGACCCAGGACACUUGAAAAGACAUAAAUAGUGAUUGCUAAAUUAAUCUUUAAGGGUUAGAAUCUAUAAUAAGUAUAUUGUAAUGUGGACAAGAUAUCAAGUCAUUUAUGUCAAAUAUAACUGAUAAAAUACUUUCAUUAAACUAAAAAUAAGUGUAGAUAAAUGAAAUUGGUAUAUUGUGUGAUAUAUUUUAUACUGUUUUAUUUUAAAAAUUUUUGGUUGUUGUUAUUGAAGUCAGGAGUGCUUCACCACUGAACCAUAUCCUAAGCUCUUUAUUUUUUAUUUAUGAGGCAGCGCCUCACUAAGUUGCAGUUCUUGCUUCAAACUUGCAGUUUUUCUGCCUUAGCCUCCUGAGUUGCUGGGAUUUAGGUGGGUCCCACAGUGCCCCGCUAAUUAUUUUAAAGCCUUAGAAUUAAAAAUGUGUUAUUGAAGUCUGUUCUCAAAAAUAUUUCCUCAAAAAAAAAAGUUAAAAUGUUGGCAUAAUCCUGCUUUCAUUGUAUUGAGUACAGACUUAAAAAUAUUUUGAGGGAUCACAGGUUUGGGGGCAAGAACAGUAGGGUCCAAAGGUAAAACUGAUAGGGUAAAAUUCCUUCUGUAUUUUUGGUGUGCCAGGGAGAUGCCUAUGUAAGUUAGUCCUAUGAUCAGGUUUUAAAGCAUAUGUCUUCAUUACAUCAUGCCAAAUCACCCCACAACUUAUAUCAUUUCAGUGGCCUCAUGCUGUACUUUGUGUCUACUUGUCAUUACUGGUUGGUACUCAGGUUGGGGGGCAGCUCUGUUCCCUCAGGCAUUCAUGAGCCCAGAGUUCUUCCUUCUCAUGCCUUCACCAAUCCCCACCCUGGAUCUCAGCCCCAGUCUGCAUCCCUCAGCAGGAGGGAAGGAACUUGGAGAAACUCACAUGAGGGGAAUGUAUGGGCCUGCUCUACAGGUGGCUCCUCUCAGUCCCACUUCUCUUCCAUUGGCCAGAACUAGUUAUGUGCCCACACAUAACACAAGGAAGCUGGGCAGCAUGGUGCAGGUGUGUGACCACAGAAAAAGAGCCUGGACAUUUGUGGAUAAGUAGGGAACAGGGAAGAAUUCAUCUGUACUAAGACCUGCAGUGUCCUGAGGUCUAAAGAUGAAUAUAGAUAUGAUGUGAGGAUCCUACAAUCUAAUAAAGGAAAGAAUAAAGAGAGUGUUCUCUGGAAGUCUGAGGGAUUAUUCUAGAUUGGGAAGUUGCCUGGAGAUGACAGAAAUUGAGCUCCAUUUUCAUAGUAAACCAGAUUUGAAUACUGCAGGGAGAUGGCUGCAGGAAGCAUAGAAGCAUGUAAUUUGUGCACAAGAUAUAUUAAGGAAUAAGCAAAUUUAAAUUCUAUUUUCUUUUUUUUUUCUUUUGUACUGGUAAUUAAAAUCAGGGAACCUAAUUACAGAGCCACAUCCCCAGCCCUUUUCAUUUUUUAAUUAUGAGAAAGGGUCAUUGCUAAGUUAUGUAGGGCUAUGCUAGGUUGCUGAGGCUGGUCUUGAACUUUGAAUCCUCCUACUUCAGUCUCCCAAGUGGCUGUGAGAACAGGCAUGAGCUACUGAGUCCAGCUUAAAUUCUAUUAUCAAAAACUGAAAGGCAUGGAAAAAUGCUCACAAUGGAUUAUCAGAGAAACUGAGAAUAUCAGAUGAUCCAAAUUUUGUAAAACCGUCUAAAUUUAGUUGAACAUCUAGAGAUGUGUGGGGUGAUAAUUUUCAAAUUUUCUAAAAUGAUUAUAAUAUAUACAAUCACAAGAAUUCCAUCAACAUGUUCUUAUGUGGUGUACUGUUCUUUAUACCAGCCAUAAAUACCUGUAGUGUAGACCAGGUAUUUUCCACACUUUGUCACCCAGGCCUUGCUGUUCAUGUGAGACAGAGACCUCAUGUCUACUUUCUGCCCUGCAAUCCAGAUCCUGAUUCUGGUGCCCAAGAAUAUUCCUUACAGCACUGCACUUGGGAAAAGGCCCCACUUGUUUAUAAUGUGAAAUGAUAAAACUGUUUUCCUCCAGAUGAAACCACCAAAGCAUUGAUAUUACAGAAUUUGGAUAUGAUGUAAUAGCAGGCCUCUGAAAAAGUCCAAGUCUUGGCUGACAAUCACUGAGCGCCAUAGCUCUCAUGCCAUUUUCUCAUGUGGCCACCAGCAGGCAGUGCAUGACUGCUUGCCUCCAUGACACCAUUGCAGAUAUUUGCAAGUUUUGCCCUCUACAAAACAUGUUUAAUAAUGAUAGAUAAUUUGUCUAAUAAACAUUCACUUGCUUUUAUUCUUCAUUAGGAUUUGGAAGCUGACAACUCCCUACAAGAAACAAACAUAAGGCCAUCCACUAGCUGGAAGACAUAUAUCUGGACAUAUGAAGACGUGAAAAAUGAUGGAUCCACCCCACAUCUCUGUUUGGAUUUCCCUCCCUCCUCCUUCCAUCGUGUACAAGCAUUCAUGUAGAACAUCUUGUGACAGAUGUGAUGUACCAUCGAUCUCUUUAGUGGUAUUAUUCCUUUUGUGAUGGGAAUCUUGAUGGGAAGUGAUGUGCUCCACAGAGACAGAAUGUAACUGAAAUGAUGAGGUCCCACUACAGGUCAUCAGCAAGAGGGCUCAGCCAGCUUUGUCAAAUUGUAGAUCCCAUGGUUAGCUUGGUUGAGAUCUGGCACACACUGUCUACUAUCCCCAAAGUACUAAGUUUUCUUUUCCCUGAGUAAAUUUCACUAAAACUCUUUAUAUCCUAAAAGAACAUCAGAUCCAAAUGAAAUUGGUGAUAAGCAUUUGAGGGAGAGAGAAGAUAAUGAUUUUAGUCACCUGCACACAACAAUUUAUCACUCUGCAUUAUAUUAUAACCCUUGGGUGUCCCUCACCAGACAGUGACCUCAGAGCAGAGUCUAUGUCUUAGUUCCAAUUCUAUCUCAAACAGUAGUUGCCAAAUACUGAGGAAUGAAUACAUUUACUUGAGACCCAAGAUCUGACAGGUUGGAGAGUAUUAUUUGAAUUGGUUAGUGAAACUAUUCUGUAGGAUACUCUAAUGGUGGAUAUAUGUUUAUUUUACAUUUGUCUAAACCCAUAUAAUAUAUAAUACUUUGUGCAAAACCAUAUUAUAUAUAAUACUAAGAUUGAGUCUUAGUGUAAACUAUCAAUUGCAAUGUAUACAUCAAAUUUUGGGGGAGGUAUUGAUAAUUGGGGAGAUUGUAUUUGUGUAGAGUAGGAGGUGUGUGGAAAAUCUCUGUCUUCUGCUCAGUUUUGCCAUAAAACCAAAAACGUUCUAAAAAAUAAAGUCUACUUUCUAAAAGUCCUUAUGGAGCAACUAAGAGAGAUAAUAAGAUGCAGAAACGUCAUAAGGAAACUAAAAUUAGAGUGACCAAAUUAUAAUCAUAAAGAAUAGAACUGAAGUUGCAAAAAACAUACUCCCAGACAGUGGAAAAACUGAGAAGAGGCCCUUCAAUGCAGAGAAAAGAUGUAACAGAAGAAACUAUGUGAAAGGAGGUUACGGAUGCAUAGUAGGGAGAAACACAAUUGUCCAUCUGUUUAGUGAUCAAUAUGCAUCACAUACAAGGGUGUCAUUCCUGCAAGAACUCUACAACAAAAGAAACAGAAGCCAUACUGAGAAAUACACUAGAGAACUUUUGUAAACCGGCUAAAUCAAAACUAUGCUUUUAUCAUUAUUUUGAUUUCCUCUAUUCGUAGUCUUAUGUUUCUGUUCUCCUUUAUAGCUUUAAGAGUGUGAGCAGAGGUGGGGUUGUGGCUCAGUGGUAGAGGGCUUGUCUGGCAUGUGUGAGGCACUGGGUUCAAUUCUCAGCACCGCAUAUAAUAAAUGGAUAAAAUAAAGGUUCAUAAACAUCUAAAAAAUAUUUUAAAACAAAGUGUGAGCAGUGCAAUUUAGUGUGGACUUUUUUGAUCAUGCCAACUUUAGAUUAAAAACAAGUCAUUGAGGGGUUGAGGUGGGGUUCAGUGACAGAGCCCUAGUCUAUCAUGUGCAAAGUCCUGGGCUGGAUUCCUGGCACUGAAAAAUAAAUAAAUGAACAAACAAGCAAAUA
This 7643-nucleotide long non-coding RNA is filed under the name Marmota monax (woodchuck). The record is from RNAcentral. Lineage: Eukaryota; Metazoa; Chordata; Mammalia; Rodentia; Sciuridae.